RNAcentral lists this long non-coding RNA (267 nucleotides) under Homo sapiens (human). RNAcentral describes it as "LHRI_LNC643.1". Lineage: Eukaryota; Metazoa; Chordata; Mammalia; Primates; Hominidae. The record is from RNAcentral.
GGCUCACACCUGUAAUCCCAGCACUUUGGGAAGCUGAGCCGGGCAGAUCACUUGAGGCCAGGAGUUCAAAACCAACCUAGCCAACAGGGCAAAACCCCAUCUCCUCUAAAAACACAAAAAAUUAGCCAGACGUCAUGGCGGGCACCUGUGGUCCCAGCUACUUGGGAGGCUGAGGCACCAGAAUCACUUGAACCUGGGAAGCAGAGGUUGCAGUGAGCUGAGAUCACACCACUGCACUCCAGCCUGGGUGACAGAGCGAGAUCCCCC